Molecule: long non-coding RNA, 1402 nt
Filed under: Brassica napus (rape)
Lineage: Eukaryota; Viridiplantae; Streptophyta; Magnoliopsida; Brassicales; Brassicaceae
Description: long non-coding RNA (BNAP_LNC002203)
Source: RNAcentral
UUGAAGUUUGAGACGACCCCACUCACGGCGAUGCCUUUAAUACCAAACCCGAGAUACGAGACAAAGAGAAACGUGAUGGGCAAGUGGAGAACACUCGCGACGGCCGUGCAGACUGAUAAAGGAAGAGUCUUUGCUUGCGUCCUAAGGUAAACUCUCAAAGGGUGUAAGAAAGAUUGAGCUACGAGGUCAGGAACAGAGUAAAGAAGAAAGAUGUGAGCUUCAGAGGCAAGAUCCUUGUCCUGUUUCAGCAUUUCAAGAAUCUUCUCGAUGUUGAUCCAAAGAAGUGAAACGGGGAGAGAUGUGAGGAGGAGGAGGAGGACUCCUCGCCGGAUAGUGGCUGUGACGAGGUUAUAGCGUUUUGCGCCGAAGGCUUGAGAGCAGAUUGAUUCGACGCCCAUGGUUAAACCGGAGAAGAGGGAGUAACCGGUUAUGUUGGCGAAUGCGAGUGCUAGGGAGCCUCCGGCGAGAGUUGGGCGGCCGAGACCGCCGAGGAAGUACAGACCCGAUCCUCGGCCUCGCCGACCCUCUAAGAACGCCGCAUCCCGUCGUCUGAGGGCAGUUCCCAAGCUCGCAAAGGCCAACGAUCGGCAGUACCAUCGAAGUCAACUUAAUGAUCUCCUCAUCAUCCGUGAAAAGCCUCGCCCACAUGUUUCUCACCGAGACGGUGAACGUGAGGGCAGUGAACCCUAGGGCGAUGCUGAGACCGAGUCCGACAACGGCCGCUCUCCUCGCUCUCAUUGGUCGGUCCGAGCCCAGUUCGUUCCCGACACGUGUCGAGACACCGAAGCUUAAAGAGCUAGGGAAAAUGUAGACGAGAGAAGUGAUUUGGAUGAGUAUCCCCAUCGAAGCAACGGUUGCUUUAGGGUUUAUGAGAAACCCACAAAGCAGAAUCAUAAUCUCGUAGCACCACCACUCGAGACAAACCGAUACGCAGCUCGGUAACGCGAGAUUGAUCAGCUUCUUCCAUUCUCUUACACUAUCUUCAACCUCCUCCUCUACUAAAACCUCCUCGUUGAGACCUACCUUGUCUUCCAAGAAACGGAUGUAGAUGAAGAGAAAGACGACAAGGUUGAAGUUUGAGACGACCCCACUCACGGCGAUGCCUUUAAUACCAAACCCGAGAUACGAGACAAAGAGAAACGUGAUGGGCAAGUGGAGAACACUCGCGACGGCCGUGCAGACUGAUAAAGGAAGAGUCUUUGCUUGCGUCCUAAGGUAAACUCUCAAAGGGUGUAAGAAAGAUUGAGCUACGAGGUCAGGAACAGAGUAAAGAAGAAAGAUGUGAGCUUCAGAGGCAAGAUCCUUGUCCUGUUUCAGCAUUUCAAGAAUCUUCUCGAUGUUGAUCCAAAGAAGUGAAACGGGGAGAGAUGUGAGGAGGAGGAGGAGGACUCCUCGCCGGAUA